UGGACAUGUAGCUCUGAGAUUUCAGGCAAGCCAAAAGGAAAACAGUGAGUUCCUGUUGCUUGAUUUAAAGCAAGCACAUCAUUCUUCUGGUGGAGAUGGAGAUGCCCACAUAGGAGGGGGUGACGCAGCAGCAGUGAGGAGGGGUAGACAGUGUGGGUAGACGGUCAUCUCUUUCAAGGAGCUUGGCUAUGAGGAAGAGCAGAGAGAGCGUGUUGAAGGCAGAUAGGAGACUUGAUUGGAAGGUGCUCCGACAUCUGCUUUUCUGAGAGUGAUGAUUGGACAGACCAUGAAGAGAGGCAGGUGCUGUAGCCAAUGGGCAGCUAGCUGGGGGAGAGGGUCUAAGGAGUGGAGCAGUUGGUGAGGAAGGAGAGGCGUCGGUUGGAACAGGAGGCCUCAGCGGGAGAGGAGAGAGCAGGUGCCAUCAGUGAGCAUUCUCUUAGUCUCGGAUUCCGUUGUCCCCUGAGAGUCUGAGGAGAUGGCUGCAGCAGCGGUGGCUGGACUGAUCCCUGUGUUGCACUCUGUGGCCGGUGACAAGUCUGGCUGCUACGUCGGGUGACAUCUGUGGUUUGGCUUCAUCGCCAUGUAUGGAAUGGUGUUGUACAUGGUCCGCAUGCCCUGGUCCUCCAUCCAUGAACAUUUCCAGUGCCAUGGCAACAUCACCUAUGCUUGUUUGACUGAGUGUUUUGAAAGAAGGUUUAGCAGUCCUGUAGUGGGAAUUUGGUACUUCUUUUUCUUUGUCUUCCUAUCCCUCUUCUUCCUCAUGGAAUUCUUCAUGGCUCAGAUUCGGCAUAAGCAGAUCAAGCUCAAGUCAGAGGAGUCGGUAGCAGGUGAGGCGGAGGAGGGCUCCAUGGUGGGAAUCCAGGAGCAAGACCGCUCUCCAAAGUCCAUCUGAACCUCCCCCAGGAGAAGAUGCUUUCCCUUUUGUACCUCCUUUACUUCCUGCUGCAGGUCGGCGCCCAGGGUGUGCUUUUAUUCCUUCUCAUGUACCAACCACUGCCAAUGGUGAGCCACACCGUCAUUCACUGCAGCCCCGAGGCCUGCCCUGCACCCUUUAUCUGCCUCAUCAGGGCAGCAUGGAGAAACGAAUGGCCCUCUACACCCUCACCACCUUGUCCUUCAUGAUCAUCCUCUUCUGCUUGGGUUUCUUCAUGUACAGCAUUCAUCACUACCUGUUAAAGGGGCUUUCAAGUGCGAGGUUUUGGCUUGACUGACGUUUGGAAGUUCUUACUUAGAGUCUUCCUCCCUUGCACUGGGAAGUUAGUGUCUGGGGCAGGGCUUCCUCCUGCUAACCCUCUUUGCUUUCCUUUCAUAUAAUAAACAUUUAUUGUUCUUGUUUUCUCUCUCUACAGCCAGGAUAACAUUGUCUAACUGUGGGGUGGGUGGUACGCACUUGAUAAUAUUUCAGAGUUCUCUCACACGUGCUGUCUAAUUUGGUCCUCAUCAGAAGCCUGGGGCACUGAGCUUGCUACUUCAUUCUUCCAGUAUUUUCAAAUCAGGAAGAGUUUUCAUAGUCUUAGAACAAGAGAUUUAAAGAUUCUGAGGAGAUUGAUUGCUUCUGCUCUGGCUCCCCAAUGUUAAUUGUAAAUGCAGAGAAGAUAAUUCUUCUCCACAGAAGAAGUUUCAGCUGGACUUGCAGGCAGAUUCCCCAAGCUCCUAGGAGUGGCCCCCGUCUUGCUGCCUCACUCAAGUCUCCAGUGAGGACUGAAUAAAUCUGGAUGAAUCCCACUGGGGAGAGGAUGAGUCACCGUUAUGGCAAUUCUGAUUAAUCACUCCAUCCAGUAGAGUAACUCUUUUGUGCCUGUUGGUUCAGUGGCAUAAGGAGCCUAAAAUGGCCAAGUGGCAGUCUCAUCAUCCAAAUCAUUGGAAUCAUUGUUGUGUCUUUGAUAGAAGCAUUCCCCCAUUGGGAACUGAGACCUCCAAACCAGAAGAGCUCACAGUUGCUGGAUGGGAAACGAACAACGCUGCUGCUGUUUUUUUCAGGUGUAGUAGUCACAGCAGCUGCUCUCACUUCCACCCUUUGAUUCCCAGAUACAUUUGUUCUGACUCUCUGGGAGACAGCACCAUACAACGGUCUCUGAGUCAAAGCGUAUAGUGCAGCCUGUCAGACAGACCCCACCCUUUCAGGGUGUUGUCUCACACUUGAUACUGUAACUGAAUUUUCAGUAAGCCAUUGCACCUUUCAAUUCAGCCAGCUGUUUUGGGGUGAUGGGAUAUUGUGGUAAGAUUCCACGGGCAUGAGCCUAUUGCUACACUUCCUUUGCUGUAAAAUUAGUUCCUUGAUCAGAAACAGUUCUGUGAGGUAUGUAUCUAUCACCCGAGCACCAUGAGCCCCCACUCUGACUGGUGGCACACAGUGGUGUUCUGGGUCCUUAGGAAUUAGCAUCACUUCAGAGCCCAUGUCUAGUGAUCCCGUAGUAGUCUGGGUCUUUCCUUUUCUCCAGGGCCCAGUCACUCCAGUAAAUCACUACAGAUCGGUUCAGGGAAGUCUUAGAGAGGACUUGCUAUACUUGGGGCAGUACUGCAGAGUCCCCCUCCUUCAGCCAAGGGACUCUGGAUCUGUGGAUUGGCUUAGGACUGGAAACUUUGUGAGAGGCCAUGACUCUGCAUUGCAGUGACUCAAACCGGAUCUUGAACCAACAGAUCUAGAAGUUUUUCAGUUCUAUGGAUCAGGGAUGGCAAACUUUUUCUGAAAAGGGCCAGAAAGCAAAUAUUUUAGGCUUUGCAGACCAAACAGUCUCUGCGACAACUACUCAGCUCUCCUGUUGUGGCAGGAAGGCAGCCGCAGACGACAUGCAGAUGAAUGGGUGUGGCUGCGUUCCAAUAAAACUUCAUUUACAAAAAUAGGUGGAGGGCUGGAUUUGGCCAUGGGUCAUAGUGUUGAUUCCUGCUAAAGACCCAGCAAUAUUUUAGUAGGCUGACUGUUUAUUUUGUUAGUAUGUGAUCAAUUAAUCACCACUUGAGAUCCCCGUGGGCCAAAGCAUUCUGAUGACCUUUGUUCCUGCUGGCUCUUAUGGUAAAUGUGUCCACUUUGUCUUGGGCAGUUACGUGCUGCCUCUUGGCCUCUGUUACUCCAGGAUUUCAUCAGCCUCACUGAAAUCAGAGUAGCACCUCCCAUGGUCAUAUCUAGUCUAUAAAUGAGAGCAACCAUAGAGCUUUUAAAGGAUGCACGUACUCCUUCACUAAUUUAUUUCUCAAAAUCUUAGUGAAGGGAGGGUCUUCUGAGCCUUCUCAGGGGAUGUGGUUGGGGAUGGGUAUGCAUGUUACACAUGAUAAAUCCACAUCAACGUUCCUAUCUUCCUAAGCCUUUGGAUUCCUUCCUCCACAUCAGACCACGGAAGCUAUGGCAUCUCACUCUCAUUAAGUAGAUAACACUGUUGGGUUCAAGUGUCAGUCAGCCAAAUAAUAUGUUAGAGCCACAUCUAGCUGUACAAUUUAAAAUAUGAAAUCUGAGAUCUCUAGUAAGUGCACACGUAUAAAUUAAUUUGUCUGAUAUGGUGCUAUAUUCCUCUCUCCUUGGUCUAAGUUGCUUAGAAUCCACUCCUACACACAUUCCCCAGGUUUCUGCCAACAUAUAUUAGAAAAGUCUUGCAAUUCUUUUAGUGUAUAAGCCAUUUCCUCCUGGGUCAUACUGUGUAUCGAGUUCCUGAAAUAUACUGAGAUUUGACCCAAGUUGUAGACCUAGUGGGUCGUGAGGAGAAUCAGCAUCCCUUUCAAGGCAUCUGCCCCGGGUGAAGUUGUCACAGGGUUUUCCAGCAAAGGAAGGCUCGUCUGACCUACUUGUAUUGUCAAAGGGUGGUCACAGUGACUUGGAGAUUUGAGAUUCUCAAUUCAUUUGAAUCCUACCAGACUUCCCCAUUCCAGGUUUCAGAGUCUCAUUACUUCUCAGUCAACCUCCUAACUUUUACGUAAAACUUGUAAAAUCUGCGAAUUCAACUGCUAUUGUAUUUCAGCCACUUGCACAGUUAAGUCCUGUGUUUGAUAUUUAGCAAUACUGGCCCUGUGGUUACAAGAAAUAAGAGAUUAUAUUCGGAUGAGCACGGAAGCUCUCUGAUCCCCAGACUGUGACCCUGAGCUUAUCUUUUUCUUUCUGUAAGUGCUGCCGUGCACUCGGGGAAAUCAAUUCCACACCGCAGUCCUUGUUGUCACUGCUACCGCCAUAACAAUCCAGUGCAGCAGCCACUUGGGCCCCCAAGGCGUUUGCUUUAAUUAGCACUUCAUCCCAGUCAGCCACAGGUGAUAAUUUAAUGACCUGCAAUGUCAUUGUAUGUCAUCGAUAACUAGCAGCUGAUUUUCCAGCUUCAAGGAACUCACCACUGCCCUCAAACCCAAACACAUGACCCAACCCAUUCUCAGAUCCCAUCUUUGAGAGUUUGUCUCUUCAGGCCAGCCCCAGUCCCAAUUCUAUUAAGGUCCACUCAGGAGACAGAAACCACACCGGCAAAUUGAACCAGAAAAAUUUAAUACAAAGAAUUGUAACUUAUAAAAGGUGGUUAGCUAUCAAACCAGAAGUGGCAAGUGCAAAAAGCAGCUCCUACCUCAAGAGCUGAGGGACAGUGACUCAGGAAGCGAUUAAGAACCUGGAAGAGCUCUCCCCACCAUUCACCUCAAGGCAGACUCAUCUCUUCUUGGAGAGGCAUGCCUGCCGUAGGAGCACACUGCCUGCCGGGGCUAAGGAGACUGGCUGGAGGGCGUGGCCAGAGCGGCCUCAUUCACAUGGCCUGCUGGGUGGCGGAGAGACUUGCUGGAGGGCCAUAGCAGGCCGGAGCUGGUCUGCAAAGGCUGCUGAGAUGAGCAAUACCAGGCCCUUACAUACCACUCCACUGGCUAGCGUGCCUAAAACAGCACACUAAAAUUCAGAAGAAACUCUUGAUUCUGCAGUGGCCACGCAGCGUCCCUUCAGUGCUCUCUAUUGACAAAGCCUCUUUGUUGACACUGAGCCAGCUGGCAAAGGAGAAAUGUUUAAAGGGUCAAGCUGGGGCUAGCCCAGUGGCGCAGUGGUUAAGUUCGCAUGUUCCACUUUGGCGGCCUGGGGUUCACCGGUUUGGAUCCCAGGUGCAGACCUACUGUGUUGUGGCAGGUGUCCCAGAUAUAAAGUAUAGGAAGAUGGGCACGGAUGUUAGCUCAGGGCCAGCCUUCCUCAAAAAACAAACAAAUAAAAUAAUAAAGGGUUAAGCUCUAGUAUCACACAGCAGGGUAAAGAAGUGUGGAUUUAGUGCUGAGAGGCAAUGAAUUGAUAACUGGGGAAGGGGUAAAUAAAUUUUGUGUGUUUAACAGACAACAGGAAGGCCAGUGUAGCUGAAAGUGACUGAGUGGGACAGAGACAAUGGUGGAAAAUGAGGUCUGAGAAACAGAGAGGUAGAUGAGGUCAGAUCAUUUAAAGCUUAAUAGAUCACGGUAAAGACUUUGGAUUUUUUUUUAAGUGAAAAAAAGUAAUUUGCUUUCAAUCAAAUGAAAAUGGUAUAGAUCCUGAGCCA
Long non-coding RNA from Equus caballus (horse), 5474 nucleotides. Lineage: Eukaryota; Metazoa; Chordata; Mammalia; Perissodactyla; Equidae. The record is from Ensembl.